This 500-nucleotide ribosomal RNA is filed under the name Coloceras stephanii. Its description in RNAcentral is "partial 16S ribosomal RNA". It matches the Rfam family "Bacterial large subunit ribosomal RNA", at positions 1830 to 2595 of the family's 2925-position model. Lineage: Eukaryota; Metazoa; Arthropoda; Insecta; Psocodea; Philopteridae. The record is from RNAcentral.
UCCUCAAUUAGAUUAUUUGAGGUAGAACCUGCUCAAUGCGAUAAAGUAAAUAGCCGCAGUAUUCUAACUGUGCAAAGGUAGCAUAAUAAAUUGGCUUUUAAUUGAAGUCUGGAAUGAAUGGUUUGACAAGGAUUAAACUGUCUUGGAGUAAGAAAUUUUGAAUUUUAAUUGUCUGUAAAAAUGCAGACAUAGAAGAGAGGGACGAGAAGACCCUAUAGAUCUUUAAUAGACUAUGGAAAAAAUUUUUUUGAAGAUCAAUAGUUCUAUUUUAUUUGGGGAAAAUCCUGAAAGAGAAAACUUCGGUUAAAAUGAAAUAAAAAUUUAAACAAUUGAUUUUUGAUCCACUGAGAGUGAAAAAAUGAAAAAGUUACCUUAGGGAUAACAGGACAAUGAUUUUCUUAGAGAUCUUAUCUUAGAGAACGUUUGUUACCUCGAUGUUGAAUUAAGUUAUCUAAAAAAAGGAGAAAUUUUUAUAGUUGGUCUGUUCGACCAUUAAAAAC